GAUGAAUGCUGGCGGCGUGCUUAACACAUGCAAGUCGAGCGGAAAGGCCCUUCGGGGUACUCGAGCGGCGGACGGCUGAGUAACGCGUGGGAACAUGCCCCAAAGUGAGGAAUAACUGCCCGAAAGGGUGGUUAAUGCCGCAUAUGAUCUUCGGAUUAAAGGAUUUAUCCGCUUUGGGAGUGGCCUGCGUAUGAUUAGUUAGUUGGUGAGGUAAUGGCUCACCAAGCCGACGAUCAUUAGCUGGUCUGAGAGGAUGACCAGCCAGACUGGAACUGGGACACGGUCCAGACUCCUACGGGAGGCAGCAGUGAGGAAUAUUCCACAAUGGGCGAAAGCCUGAUGGAGCAACGCCGCGUGAAGGAUGAAGGCCCUCGGGUUGUAAACUUCUUUUAUAAGUGAAGAAUAUGACGGUAACUUAUGAAUAAGCACCGGCUAACUACGUGCCAGCAGCCGCAGUA
RNAcentral lists this ribosomal RNA (458 nucleotides) under uncultured bacterium. RNAcentral describes it as "partial 16S ribosomal RNA". It matches the Rfam family "Bacterial small subunit ribosomal RNA", at positions 28 to 522 of the family's 1533-position model. The record is from RNAcentral.